AGUUUUUUUUUGUCUUUUCUAAGUUAUUCUUUAUGUCUGUUUGAUAUCUCUGUUCUCUAGUUCCUAUCUUUAAAAGACAGCUGCAUCACCACAGACAGAAUUCAGAAGAGGAAAACCAGCUAUCAACUGGCGCCUGGGCGGACGGAGGAUGAAAGCCGGCAGAACUGAGAGCAGGGGAGGGAAGAAGAAAGGCCCCUGGAGACCCGGUGCGGGCCAAACACAACAAACAAAAUCCUCCGCAGAGAACGGAGAUGCCAACCAGGGAGGAGACGGGGGAAGCCCUGAUGUCUCCAUCCAGAAAAGAAGAUCCCAGGCAGGCGACGUAGGUGCUCCGGGAGCAAACCUGCCGCGGAGUACAAGGCGCAGGCUCCGGGUUCGUGAACAAACGGGAGGGAGGCGCUCAAGCCCAGGACGCAGGCAGAACCCGGGGAGAGGGAGAAAUGCUUCCAAUUGAGCUGGAGUGGUGAAGGAUGAAGAGACGGCAAUGCAUGGGUUUAGAGGAGCCUCCCAGCAGGACCAUCCCUGCGCUCUCUCUAACCUUGCAUAGGAAAAAUGAGGAGCAUGACUGGGUCUGUGGAAGCAGGGUAAUGAAAUUAAGCUGUCUUUUCCCUUCCAGCUGAGAGUCAUUCCUUCUAAAGCUGCCCCCAUAUAUUACCUGCAAUUGACAGACAAAAGCAUUUUAUAUAUAGCUCACUUCCUGCUCUUGCCUUUUUGUGUGCUUACAUUGCUAUGAGUUAUAAAAGUCACAAAGCAGGGGAAUCCAAAAUUCAUACAUGUGCGUAGAUGCCACUGAUUAAGUUCUUAAGGUGUUCCAUGAGGCUGAGAUGAAAGGCCAGGUUAUUUCAUGGUCCUUGUGGUCUCCUGUGAAUUUCUAAGGCUCCCUGGAGUACCACCUUUACAGCCUUACCACAUUUUCUUGUAAACAGAUUGGAAAAGGUAAGAAUACAAGGUAGACAGCUCCCUUUGGGCACAAAUUCCCCUUGUGCUGUUGGACUAAUCCUUUUCUGAUUACUCAUAGUCAUCAAGAGAAAUACUACUACUUUGUCUCGAGAAGUUUUUCUUCACGUUUUUGAAUAGUUCACAGUCUGUGACAUUUUUAUGUAGCUAUUUUGAGUCAGAGACAUUUUGAUAGAGCCCCAAAAAUAAACCAUUAAACUUUCAGCUCAUUUUUUUUUAAGUAAUAUAACUGACAUAUAUUCCAUUACCAUGUCACAUGUACAACCCCCUCCUCCCAGCUCCAUCCCUUAAUCAACCUCAGGCUGUGGGGUAGAGAAAACUCGGAGGGAGUCUCCAUGAGGGGCUGAGGGAUGGGGUGAGUCUUGAAAUUGGUUUAAUACUCGGGGAUAUUAGUUGCACGCAUUACUUUGUAAUGAAAUUUUGAAAUGACCAUUUUAAGGCAGCCAAGUCAAAAUGGCGUAGUCAAUAUGUUGUCUUUUACAGCUGAAGGUUGGCAGUUUUACAAGUGAUGGGUGGGCAGGUUGAAUCAAGCCCCUCUCCAGUUACUGCUCCCAAACCAAAAUACAGAAUUGGCUUGCAAGAGAGGGGCUUCUCAGACAUUACCUAAGAGUCUUGGCGAGAAAAACUCCUCUAAAUCGGGCAAAAGAAUCCAGCUGGACUCUGAUGUUGUGAGACUCUUUUUCUGAGUCACUCUGAUUGUAUUCUGAAGACUCUCAGGAUGAAACCCACAUGAAACAGCAUGUGCUUCCCUCAGGAACUUAGACUGAGUCUAAACACGCGUUCACCUGGCCCUUGGCCAAACACGUGCACACACAGGUGGUUUGGUUUACUCUCUUUACGCUGCUAUUUGCCUCUCCCAGGGACGUAGAGAUGCUCCUUAAUGUUGCUGCAAGAUGGGAUGCAAAGAAGCCCAGGAACUUCUGGAGAAUGUUGUUUAGACUAAAAGCAAGCUCUUGCCAAAUAAAAAAUGGGGAGUUAUAAACUAUAAUGUGUCCCGCGUGCUCCCCCUGGGAACACAGGGGUUUCACUCUCACUGUCCACUGUGGCCUUGCACUGCUUUGUGGAACUGCUGAUUGAAGCUGCUGUUAGUGACUUAGUUGUCCUUUAUAUGCUGCUGCAUCAUCAGUUUGCUGUUCAAAACCCUUUAGGUAAGACGUUGCUUGCAUGUCUCCCUGGGAUCUGAGUUUGACCUCUUCUGGAGAGAGGAGUAUUUCAUGAGGAUUUCAUCACUGCCCACCUUAGCUAAAUUUCAAGUCAGCGAGCAUUAUGGAAGUAGUGGGAGGGAAAGAAGGAAGAAACCUGUCACACCAGAGAUUUGGCUUCUUGGAUGUGUUAGCUGGCACCCACAGAUCCACUGUGAAGGAGCUAAACUCAUCAUUAGCCUAAUCUAUGACAUGUGGUAUUCUGCUUAAAAUAAACUUGUUUUCAUGUCUCUACAUUUCAAUUUUCUUCUCUAUUAGGUUUCUAUGGUAUCUUAUUGUAUUCACUCUUUGUAUUACAAAGUCUUUUGUGGAGAAAAAUUAAAAGGCUGUGAAUAUUGUUAACAAAAGGGAAAACGAUGAAGUAUGAGAUCUCACGUUUAUUGAGCACUUGCCACGUGUAAGGUAUUUUAGUUUAUUUUUUUUUUGCUGA
This is a non-coding RNA of Equus caballus (horse), 2589 nucleotides long. The record is from RefSeq and is a predicted model, not a curated record. NCBI's taxonomy places the organism in Eukaryota, Metazoa, Chordata, Mammalia, Perissodactyla, Equidae.